Molecule: ribosomal RNA, 288 nt
Filed under: uncultured prokaryote
Description: partial 16S ribosomal RNA
Rfam family: Bacterial small subunit ribosomal RNA
Source: RNAcentral
UACGUAGGGGCGAGCGUUACCCGGAAUCACUGGGCGUAAAGGGAGCGUAGGUGGCCUGACAUGUCGACUGUGAAAACCCGGAGCUCAACUCCGGACUUGCAGUUGAAACUGCCAGGCUUGAGGACGGUAGAGGAAGACGGAACUGCCAGUGUAGGGGUAAAAUCCUUAGAUAUUGGCAGGAACGCCGGUGACGAAGGUGGUUUUCUGGGCCGGUUCUGACACUGAUGCUCGAAAGCCAGGGGAGCGAACGGGAUUAGAUACCCCGGUAGUCCCUGAGCGGGCUGGCAA